GGUAUCAGAAGUGCGAAUGCUGACAUAAGUAACGAUAAAGCGGGUGAAAAGCCCGCUCGCCGGAAGACCAAGGGUUCCUGUCCAACGUUAAUCGGGGCAGGGUGAGUCGACCCCUAAGGCGAGGCCGAAAGGCGUAGUCGAUGGGAAACGGGUUAAUAUUCCCGUACUUGGUGUUACUGCGAAGGGGGGACGGAGAAGGCUAUGUUGGCCGGGCGACGGUUGUCCCGGUUUAAGCGUGUAGGUGUGUGUUCCAGGUAAAUCCGGUUCACUUUAACACUGAGGCGUGACGACGAGGCACUACGGUGCUGAAGCAACAAAUGCCCUGCUUCCAGGAAAAGCCUCUAAGCAUCAGGUAACAUCAAAUCGUACCCCAAACCGACACAGGUGGUCAGGUAGAGAAUACCAAGGCGCUUGAGAGAACUCGGGUGAAGGAACUAGGCAAAAUGGUGCCGUAACUUCGGGAGAAGGCACGCUGACACGUAGGUGAAGUGAUUUACUCAUGGAGCUGAAGUCAGUCGAAGAUACCAGCUGGCUGCAACUGUUUAUUAAAAACACAGCACUGUGCAAACACGAAAGUGGACGUAUACGGUGUGACGCCUGCCCGGUGCCGGAAGGUUAAUUGAUGGGGUCAGCGCAAGCGAAGCUCCUGAUCGAAGCCCCGGUAAACGGCGGCCGUAACUAUAACGGUCCUAAGGUAGCGAAAUUCCUUGUCGGGUAAGUUCCGACCUGCACGAAUGGCGUAAUGAUGGCCAGGCUGUCUCCACCCGAGACUCAGUGAAAUUGAACUCGCUGUGAAGAUGCAGUGUACCCGCGGCAAGACGGAAAGACCCCGUGAACCUUUACUAUAGCUUGACACUGAACAUUGAGCCUUGAUGUGUAGGAUAGGUGGGAGGCUUUGAAGUGUGGACGCCAGUCUGCGUGGAGCCGACCUUGAAAUACCACCCUUUAAUGUUUGAUGUUCUAACGUGGACCCGUGAUCCGGGUUGCGGACAGUGUCUGGUGGGUAGUUUGACUGGGGCGGUCUCCUCCUAAAGAGUAACGGAGGAGCACGAAGGUUGGCUAAUCCUGGUCGGACAUCAGGAGGUUAGUGCAAUGGCAUAAGCCAGCUUGACUGCGAGCGUGACGGCGCGAGCAGGUGCGAAAGCAGGUCAUAGUGAUCCGGUGGUUCUGAAUGGAAGGGCCAUCGCUCAACGGAUAAAAGGUACUCCGGGGAUAACAGGCUGAUACCGCCCAAGAGUUCAUAUCGACGGCGGUGUUUGGCACCUCGAUGUCGGCUCAUCACAUCCUGGGGCUGAAGUAGGUCCCAAGGGUAUGGCUGUUCGCCAUUUAAAGUGGUACGCGAGCUGGGUUUAGAACGUCGUGAGACAGUUCGGUCCCUAUCUGCCGUGGGCGCUGGAGAACUGAGGGGGGCUGCUCCUAGUACGAGAGGACCGGAGUGGACGCAUCACUGGUGUUCGGGUUGUCAUGCCAAUGGCACUGCCCGGUAGCUAAAUGCGGAAGAGAUAAGUGCUGAAAGCAUCUAAGCACGAAACUUGCCCCGAGAUGAGUUCU
RNAcentral lists this ribosomal RNA (1551 nucleotides) under Salmonella enterica subsp. enterica serovar Newport str. CVM 21559. RNAcentral's name for it is "bacterial LSU rRNA". It matches the Rfam family "Bacterial large subunit ribosomal RNA", at positions 1278 to 2812 of the family's 2925-position model. The record is from RNAcentral. Lineage: Bacteria; Pseudomonadati; Pseudomonadota; Gammaproteobacteria; Enterobacterales; Enterobacteriaceae.